Long non-coding RNA from Aedes aegypti (yellow fever mosquito), 146 nucleotides. RefSeq lists it as uncharacterized. The record is from RefSeq and is a predicted model, not a curated record. NCBI's taxonomy places the organism in Eukaryota, Metazoa, Arthropoda, Insecta, Diptera, Culicidae. The transcript is spliced from 2 exons.
UUUAAGGCAUCAUGAGGCCAUUGCAUUGUGCUGUACUCCGUUUUAUUUCACUUUUUAUUGCAACGGUGAAAGACAAAAUGGAGCCCAAAAAUCACUGAAAUGGUGUCCUAUUUUGAACGUUUUUCGAUUAAAUAAUUAUCCAUAUA